GAUCCCGAGUGUCAUCCAGAGUUGGAACAAAGACUUGGAUGCCAUGUGUCCUAGUCAGGGUGCUAUUGCUGCGAUGAAACACCAUGACUGAAGAACUCCAGUCUAUGAAAAGUGCAUCCACAGUUUGGCUACAUCUUCCCACUUCAUUUACACAGGUUGGAAACUCCCUUACAGUCAUGCCCACAGACAUCAAUGGUACCCUGCUACUCAGUGCCCAGGUCCCCCACCCUCACUCCUGGCCUGGGGACAAAAGUGCAGCGUGUCCACUGGCUCACCUUUCUCCCUGGACUGAUGGUUUUGUGUGUCAGCAAGGAGCCUCUGUUGAGGAAAUGCCUCCACGAGAUCCAGCUAACUGAAACCUCAGGCUGAGAGUUAGCUUUGACAACAAGGCAGUGAGAAAAACCAAGUCAGUAAGCAGCAUCCAGCCAAGGCCUCUGCAUCGGCUCCUGCCUCCAGGUUCCAGCUCUGCUCGAGUUCCUGUCCUGACUUCCUCCAGUGAUGGGCUAUGGUCUGGAAAUGUAAGCCAAUAAACCCUUUCCUUCCC
Molecule: long non-coding RNA, 544 nt
Filed under: Mus pahari (shrew mouse)
Lineage: Eukaryota; Metazoa; Chordata; Mammalia; Rodentia; Muridae
Description: predicted gene 28100 (MGP_PahariEiJ_G0005982.1)
Source: RNAcentral